This is a long non-coding RNA of Bombus impatiens (common eastern bumble bee), 952 nucleotides long. RefSeq lists it as uncharacterized. The record is from RefSeq and is a predicted model, not a curated record. NCBI's taxonomy places the organism in Eukaryota, Metazoa, Arthropoda, Insecta, Hymenoptera, Apidae. The transcript is spliced from 3 exons.
CACAUUGUCAGUGAAGUGCAAGUGUAUUUAACGGCAAUAGAAAUUGUUACAUUACGAAGCUUAGGAAAUCUUGUCUACAAAUUACGUAUUGUUGAUAUUUAAGUCGGUUGGGACUGAUGGAGCUUCUAAAAUAUUUUUCUCGUGAAUAGAGAAGGAUAACGCUUGCCGUAGAUAAUUACUACGUAGUUCCGUAGACUAUGUACCUCCCGUGAUAAUCAAAAUACUCGUAGCGAUUUUGGAAUUUGUUCUGUUUCGAUUCGCGUCUACUUGAAAGUAAACUUCCUUUUCAAAUAUAAUAUAGUAAUGUAAGCUGAUAAUAUUAUAAGACUGCAGCGAUUACCGACGUGGGAAAAACAAUCUAUAGUCGGUUAGAAGAUAUGGAUAUCCGUAGAAAAUUCGAAUUUAAUCAAUUAAUGUUUGUGUUAUUAUAUGUAAAAAUUUAAGUAUAUGUUAUACAUAUGUAUAUUAUAUAUAAUUAUAUAGUAUAUGAAUAUUUAGUUAAUGUUGGACGUACUUGUAAUGCAUGGACUUGAAUUCGUCACUAACGAUGACUAAUUAUGGACACAACUCAUCAAACAUUCUCAUGUAUAAUUUAAAAUGAUAAAAUAUGCGAUUUGAGAAAUAAUCGAUUCAAAAUUCGGUUUUUUAAUAAAUCAUUUUUUAUUUGUCCUCUUUGUUCGGGAAAUUUAUUGAAAGAUUUGAAUAUCUAAUACUAAGGAGGUAUAAUAUAUUCAUUUCGGUAAAAGCUUAGAGCCACGAUACGAACGUAGAUAUUUAGUAAGUGAUAUUUACGUUUUCUGCUAACGUGUUUGACAAAAUUAGAGGAAACCAUGACAAAUUUCGGCUCACAUGAUAAUGCAACGUCAAAUAAUUAUAAUAGAAGCAGAGAGGGCACUGUGACACAUGAAAACAUAGAAAAACGAAGCUCUGCAUAGUUGAAAAUAAUAUAUGA